Molecule: ribosomal RNA, 253 nt
Filed under: uncultured bacterium
Lineage: Bacteria
Description: partial 16S ribosomal RNA
Rfam family: Bacterial small subunit ribosomal RNA
Source: RNAcentral
UACGUAGGGGGCUAGCGUUGUCCGGAAUCAUUGGGCGUAAAGAGCGCGUAGGCGGCCAGAUAAGUCCGGUGUGAAAGUCACAGGCUCAACCUGUGAAUGCCGCUGGAAACUGUCUGGCUAGAGUCCGGGAGGGGCGAGUGGAAUUCCUGGUGUAGCGGUGAAAUGCGCAGAUAUCAGGAGGAACACCAAUUGCGAAGGCAGCUCGCUGGGACGUUACUGACGCUGAGACGCGAAAGCGUGGGGAGCAAACAGG